UGGCAUGGGUUGGCUUCUAUAAUGUGUUUUCAUCUGCUAGAUGGUGUAUCAUGAUAUACAAACAACACUUGCUUCUGUAUGGUAGUCAAUGCACAAUGUAUAUUGUUUUCAUGGUAGCAUGACACCUUUCUCAAAUUUUGAUAUGUUGUGCACAUUAAAGCACCUUCAUCUUUAAUUUUUUCAAUAGACUGGCAUGGUUUAAUUUUGAUCUAUAGUUUUUGUGUUCUUUAAUAAUAUUUAGUGGCAAUUUGUCUGCUCUUCCAAGCAAAAGGAAGCUGCCCCAAGACCAAGUAACAUAACAUCAACUAUGAAAAGGAUCAUACCACAUCAGAUGGUCAGCUGAUCACAUUACCUAGGCCUGGAAAUCAGGCUGGUUAGUCAUCAGGUAUAUUGGACCAAUCUUCACACUCUUCAACACCCAGACCAAGAAUACAAUCAGCUUCAAUUUAAAUUGGAAAGUUAAGGUGACAUAAGAUUGGAAAGUCUAAGGUGACACAUUGCUCUAGUUUCACAAGAUAUAGUGUCUAAAGUUCCCAUAUUUCUACUUUCUGUUAUCUUUUUGAAGCAUGUAUCAGUGCAUUUUGCUUGGAUAAUAACUCCAAUAUGAACAAUUAAAAUAGAUGUCAAUUUAGUAAAUGAGCAUGAAUGACCUGGGCUCGGCUGCAUGUAUAACUUGUGACCUCAACCAUUUAACCUGUGAUAAGUUGCUUCUUGAAGAAGGGUUCGAUCCUGUAGGCUGUCCUAUUUUGCUAUCUCAUCUCAUUUGAUGAAAAUUUUCUGUGGGUAGUCCUCACAGAAAAUGAAGGAGGGACUGCAGAAAGAUUUGGGUAGGGAGCCUACUGAUGGUGAACUAGCAGUUGCAAUUGUACGAGGACGAGAUUCGCAAGCUAAGUGAACAACACUUCAUGCCAGUGUGGAAUUUUUGUGACUUCUUCAUUUUGAAGGUCCAUCCUCCUCAUAACUAACAUGUUAGUACCUUUGAAUUUGCUAUUUUGCAAGUACAUGUUUUAAGGGGUUUUAGAGAACUUUUAGCCUUGAAAAUUCCAGCUCGAAGCUCCAUUGCUAGCUUUAAGCGUGUUUUGCAUGUCAUUUGGUUUUGAAUUGAGUUGCAGAUU
Molecule: long non-coding RNA, 1115 nt
Organism: Magnolia sinica
Lineage: Eukaryota; Viridiplantae; Streptophyta; Magnoliopsida; Magnoliales; Magnoliaceae
Exons: 3
Source: RefSeq, a predicted model, not a curated record